GAUGAAGAACGUAGCGAAAUGCGAUACGUAAUGUGAAUUGCAGAAUUCAGUAAAUCAUCGAGUCUUUGAACGCACAUUGCGCCCCCUGGUAUUCCGGGGGGCAUGCCUGUCCGAGCGUCAUUGCUGCCCUCAAGCACGGCUUGUGUGUUGGGCCUCCGUCCUCCUCCCGGGGGACGGGCCCGAAAGGCAGCGGCGGCACCGCGUCCGGUCCUCGAGCGUAUGGGGCUUCGUCACCCGCUCUUGUAGGCCCGGCCGGCGCUUGCCGACACAUCAAUCUUUUUUCCAGGUUGACCUCAAAUCAGGUAGGACUACCCGCUGAACUUAAGCAUAUCAAUAAGCGGAGGA
Molecule: unclassified non-coding RNA, 345 nt
Filed under: soil metagenome
Description: partial contains 5.8S ribosomal RNA, internal transcribed spacer 2, and large subunit ribosomal RNA
Rfam family: 5.8S ribosomal RNA (bases 1-120)
Source: RNAcentral